This 207-nucleotide ribosomal RNA is filed under the name uncultured bacterium. RNAcentral's name for it is "partial 16S ribosomal RNA". It matches the Rfam family "Bacterial small subunit ribosomal RNA", at positions 568 to 774 of the family's 1533-position model. The record is from RNAcentral.
CUCGUAGGCGGCCAACUAAGUCGGAUGUGAAAUCCCCAGGCUUAACCUGGGAACUGCAUCCGAUACUGGAUGGCUUGAAUUCGGGAGAGGGAUGCAGAAUUCCAGGUGUAGCGGUGAAAUGCGUAGAUAUCUGGAGGAAUACCGGUGGCGAAGGCGGCAUCCUGGACCGACAUUGACGCUGAUGAGCGAAAGCCAGGGGAGCAAACG